UACGUAGGGUGCAAGCGUUAUCCGGAAUUAUUGGGCGUAAAGAGCUCGUAGGCGGUCUGUCGCGUCAGCUGUGAAAACCUGGGGCUCAACCCCGGGCCUGCAGCCGAUACGGGCAGACUAGAAUUCGGUAGGGGAGACUGGAAUUCCUGGUGUAGCGGUGAAAUACGCAGAUAUCAGGAGGAACACCGGUGGCGAAGGCGGGUCUCUGGGCCGAUAUUGACGCUGGAGGAGCGAAAGCCGUGGGGAGCAAACAGG
RNAcentral lists this ribosomal RNA (255 nucleotides) under uncultured bacterium. RNAcentral's name for it is "partial 16S ribosomal RNA". It matches the Rfam family "Bacterial small subunit ribosomal RNA", at positions 524 to 776 of the family's 1533-position model. The record is from RNAcentral.